Molecule: ribosomal RNA, 301 nt
Filed under: uncultured bacterium
Lineage: Bacteria
Description: partial 16S ribosomal RNA
Rfam family: Bacterial small subunit ribosomal RNA
Source: RNAcentral
CAGCAGCCACGGGAACACGUAGGGUGCAAGCGUUAAUCGGAAUUACUGGGCGUAAAGCGUGCGUAGGUGGUUGUUUAAGUCUGCUGUGAAAGCCCUGGGCUCAACCUGGGAAUUGCAGUGGAUACUGGGCAACUAGAGUAAGGUAGAGGAUAGUGGAAUUUCCGGUGUAGCAGUGAAAUGCGUAGAGAUCGGAAGGAACAUCUGUGGCGAAGGCGACUAUCUGGGCCAUUACUGACACUGAGGCACGAAAGCGUGGGGAGCAAACAGGAUUAGAUACCCCAGUAGUCCCUGUCUCUUAUAU